This 75-nucleotide transfer RNA is filed under the name Guptibacillus hwajinpoensis. Its description in RNAcentral is "Pseudalkalibacillus hwajinpoensis tRNA-Glu". It matches the Rfam family "tRNA". Rfam says of the family: Transfer RNA (tRNA) molecules are approximately 80 nucleotides in length. Their secondary structure includes four short double-helical elements and three loops (D, anti-codon, and T loops). Further hydrogen bonds mediate the characteristic L-shaped molecular structure. tRNAs have two regions of fundamental functional importance: the anti-codon, which is responsible for specific mRNA codon recognition, and the 3' end, to which the tRNAs corresponding amino acid is attached (by aminoacyl-tRNA synthetases). tRNAs cope with the degeneracy of the genetic code in two manners: having more than one tRNA (with a specific anti-codon) for a particular amino acid; and 'wobble' base-pairing, i.e. permitting non-standard base-pairing at the 3rd anti-codon position. The record is from RNAcentral. Lineage: Bacteria; Bacillati; Bacillota; Bacilli; Caryophanales; Guptibacillaceae.
GGACCGUUGGUCAAGCGGUUAAGACACCGCCCUUUCACGGCGGUAACACGGGUUCGAAUCCCGUACGGGUCACCA